GAAUCUUCCGCAAUGGGCGCAAGCCUGACGGAGCAACGCCGCGUGCGGGAGGACGGUUUGUGGACUGUAAACCGCUUUUAAUAGGGAAGAAGAACUGACGGUACCUAUUGAAUAAGCAUCGGCUAACUCCGUGCCAGCAGCCGCGGUAAUACGGAGGAUGCAAGCGUUAUCCGGAAUUAUUGGGCGUAAAGGGUCCGCAGGUGGCGUAUCAAGUCAGCUGUUAAAGGUCGGGGCUUAACUCCGGACAAGCAGUUGAAACUGGUAGGCUAGAGUACGGUAGGGGUAGAGGGAAUUCCUAGUGUAGCGGUGAAAUGCGUAGAUAUUAGGAAGAACACCAGUGGCGAAGGCGCUCUACUGGGCCUGUACUGACACUGAGGGACGAAAGCUAGGGGAGCGAAAGGGAUUAGAUACCC
RNAcentral lists this ribosomal RNA (413 nucleotides) under uncultured Chroococcales cyanobacterium. RNAcentral describes it as "bacterial SSU rRNA". It matches the Rfam family "Bacterial small subunit ribosomal RNA", at positions 359 to 787 of the family's 1533-position model. The record is from RNAcentral. Lineage: Bacteria; Bacillati; Cyanobacteriota; Cyanophyceae; Chroococcales.